This 75-nucleotide transfer RNA is filed under the name Candidatus Magasanikbacteria bacterium RIFCSPHIGHO2_01_FULL_33_34. RNAcentral describes it as "tRNA-Arg". It matches the Rfam family "tRNA". Rfam says of the family: Transfer RNA (tRNA) molecules are approximately 80 nucleotides in length. Their secondary structure includes four short double-helical elements and three loops (D, anti-codon, and T loops). Lineage: Bacteria; Candidatus Magasanikiibacteriota. The record is from RNAcentral. RNAcentral also lists the same sequence under 3 other names.
GCCUUCGUGGUGUAACGGAUAACACAACGGUCUUCGGAACCGUUGAUGGGGGUUCGAUUCCCUCCGAAGGCACGA